CUCGUAGGCGGCCAACUAAGUCACACGUGAAAUCCCCAGGCUUAACCUGGGAACUGCGUGUGAUACUGGAUGGCUUGAAUUCGGGAGAGGGAUGCAGAAUUCCAGGUGUAGCGGUGAAAUGCGUAGAUAUCUGGAGGAAUACCGGUGGCGAAGGCGGCAUCCUGGACCGACAUUGACGCUGAGGAGCGAAAGCUAGGGGAGCAAC
RNAcentral lists this ribosomal RNA (205 nucleotides) under uncultured bacterium. RNAcentral's name for it is "partial 16S ribosomal RNA". It matches the Rfam family "Bacterial small subunit ribosomal RNA", at positions 568 to 772 of the family's 1533-position model. The record is from RNAcentral.